CCAGCUUUGUAUUGAAGUAUCCUUUUCACUGCCUUUAAUUACUGUAGUGAAAACAUAUAUUUGAAUUGUUGAUGGGCUAUAAUGAAAUCAUUAAUAUAUGAGUUGAGGGAUGACAUUUUGGAUUUUUGGGAGCCUUCGUGCUUGCCUCUUUUUUUCCAUUGACAUUACAAUGCAAGUCUCACUAUGUGCCUACCAAAAUCAUAAUGACAACACGUCAAAAAUAUAUUAUGAUGGGAAUAAGAUCUGAAAAUUAUUAGAAAGUAUUAUGCAGAACUUUUUUGUAAGCAUAUGUGCCACGAGUAUACGAGCAAAUGGUCUAAUAGCAAAGAUAAUAAACUAUAUAUUGAUUUUUCCUUUGCCCAUCAAAUAGCCAUGUGAAAUUAUUACACAAUUUCCUAGUAAUAAUUGGAAUUCCUGUAUUAGUUUUGCCAUGAAGCAUGUGGGCACAAUGGUUCAUGACUAUUUUUUUAUAUUAGAACAUAUUAUCACUCGGCAUAGAUCAAAUUUCAAACAUAACUACUAUAAACUAGGUUCAGGAAAUGGCUAAGUGGACAGAAGAGUAGGUAACUCACUAAUUUGGUUGCGCGUCAGACCUAUAUAGGCGAAAUGAGCUAGGUCUAAUAGUGAGGCUUGGAAGGCCACAUUUGACCAAAUUUAAGGAACUACAAACGUAAUCUUGUCCACCAGCUAGCUUGGCUGCCAUCCCGGCCAGAGCAUAACAAAAUGGACUAGUGGUCACUAAUAUUUUCUACUUUCUCGGUUGACAUAGGUGAUGUGGGCGUUACCGAUAUUACCCACAAGGCAGCGGAUGGGACAAGCUGGGGAUUCGUUCGUUCUAGAGCUUGAACUAAUCUCAGCACUAGUGUAUGGCUUCAUGAUACCUUCCAAUCCAAUUACACUAGUAUGUAUGUCUCCAAAACAAGAGAGUUUCUAUAGCUAGCAUAAAGGUACAAACCAAUUGAUAAAGGGAAGUGCGCACAGAAGGCAUAGGAUGCCAGUAUAUGUACAUUUUCUUGCUCCAUGCUCGUUUUAAACGGUGGCCUGGCUGUUUUCAAUCAUGUAUUAAAUGGUUUUUCUGCCACGCUAUAUAUGAGGAAUCAUAAUAAAUAAUGAAUGAGGCUAUUUUGUUGCUUCUGUUUAAUAAAAUCAUAAAAAAUUAAUGAAUGUAGUCCCUCCUUUCAGGUGCAUAGGACAUGUACGGAGCUGCAUCUUAACCUAGGUGCGUGGAGAGUGGAUGAAGAAUUCUAAACCAAAAAUCAAUAGCAAUAAUGAAUCCUAUUUGGCCCACUUGAAAAAUCGUGAGGGGCCAAUCACUAGGUUUGUUUUCUAUGUCAUUAAUUUCUAAAAAUCUACAUGCAAAUCUAUACCUAUACUAAUUCUAGACUCCCUCUAAAUUCUCACAUUAAUCAGAUUUUACGAACUGUUAAUUUGGUGUGACCAAAUUAUAACGGUGUAGAUUAGCCCAUUUAAUUUUUACAUUAUUAAUCAUAAAAGAAACCUGUAAAAAAAUCUCUAAUCUCACAUCCACGUGACCUAGCCCUAACCCUCCCUACGUACUAACUUCUUCCAAGAUCCGAUCCCCCUCCCUCGCCUUCUUUCUCCCUUUGCUAUCAAGGAAAGAAAAAACUGAGCUCCCAAUCAAUCUGGCUGCGACGACAUCAAUAAGGCAGCGAUCAUAGCGCCUCACGAAUCACACUCCGAUUGGUCGAGCAGCUAGGACGAGAAGCCUCCUUUUUGUGAUGUUAGCCUCUCCCCUAUGUGUUGAAUUAAUCUGGGAAAAAAGCAAGACUUGGAUAUACAUGACGUACUUCAAUCCUGCAUUGAUGCACAUUGCUCUGAGAAAAUCAACGACUCUCUCUCAAAAAGCCAUGGUCGUUCCACCUUCUCCCAGAUCCCUUCCUCUCCAACCUUUGAAUCUGCAAAGCUUCAAGUUCGAUUAGGCAAACCAUGUGUUGAACUAUUGUCUAAGAAAACACCUACGUAUAGGUAACUAAUUUCUUUUGAUGGAUUACUCACUAAGUAACAGGAGCAUCUUGCCGUUUCAAUUUCUCCAACAGAACCAGUAGGCCACCGAAGUAUGCCUCACAUAUAUAUAUAUAUNNNNNNNNNNNNNNNNNNNNNNNNNNNNNNNNNNNNNNNNNNNNNNNNNNNNNNNNNNNNNNNNNNNNNNNNNNNNNNNNNNNNNNNNNNNNNNNNNNNNNNNNNNNNNNNNNNNNNNNNNNNNNNNNNNNNNNNNNNNNNNNNNNNNNNNNNNNNNNNNNNNNNNNNNNNNNNNNNNNNNNNNNNNNNNNNNNNNNNNNNNNNNNNNNNNNNNNNNNNNNNNNNNNNNNNNNNNNNNNNNNNNNNNNNNNNNNNNNNNNNNNNNNNNNNNNNNNNNNNNNNNNNNNNNNNNNNNNNNNNNNNNNNNNNNNNNNNNNNNNNNNNNNNNNNNNNNNNNNNNNNNNNNNNNNNNNNNNNNNNNNNNNNNNNNNNNNNNNNNNNNNNNNNNNNNNNNNNNNNNNNNNNNNNNNNNNNNNNNNNNNNNNNNNNNNNNNNNNNNNNNNNNNNNNNNNNNNNNNNNNNNNNNNNNNNNNNNNNNNNNNNNNNNNNNNNNNNNNNNNNNNNNNNNNNNNNNNNNNNNNNNNNNNNNNNNNNNNNNNNNNNNNNNNNNNNNNNNNNNNNNNNNNNNNNNNNNNNNNNNNNGUGUGUGUGUGUACAAUUCAAAAAGUGGCAUGAAGAUAAUCAUCAAGGGUAUCAACCGCCAAUGUCGUCCGCUCAGUUCCUCACAUAAGAACUGAUGUAUUUAGAUCCUUAGAGGUAAUAUAUUGCUUGUAGUCCCUUCACAGAAUAGAGGAAAAGUAACUACUUUGAGUCUUUACUCUCUGUCCAAGGUUUGUAGAUUCUUAAACUUGGUUGAUGCUUUGAGUCUUUACUCCUACUCUGUUUAAUCAAUUUGUAACUUGCAUGUAUUUGAAACAAAUGAAGGCACAAUAAGAUGGAUUAACUCUGUCUAUGUUGAACUGAUGUACAUGGGUGUGUUUAUAUACACAGAAGUACAGCGAGAGAGAGGAGGGAGUUACAACAGAAACCAUGGCACCCACGCCGUGCAUGCAUGUGAGAGGGAAGCCGACGUGCGUGGGAGCUAUCCUGUGUUGGACUCGCUCCUGAGAGUUAUCCUCAAGCUGACGGUGGGGCUGGAUUAUGUUCCCAACACCCCCCCCCCCNCGAAAUGUGGUGUUCGUCGACGUUUAGGCUGGAACGGAAAUCGACGAAAACACGAGUAGGCAACCCCUUCGUGAAGAUGUCCGCGAACUGAGAUGACGUAGGGACAUGGAGGACACGUACUUCGCCGAGAGAGACACGCUCCCGAACGAAGUGAAGGUCGAUCUCCACGUGCUUCGUGCGCUGGUGCUGGACGGGGUUGUUGGACAUGUACAUGGCGCUGAUGUUGUCGCAGUAGACCACAGUGGCGCGAGGCGGCGGCCGGCGGAGCUCCGUGAGAAGCUGCCGCAACCAGCAAGCUUCAGCGACGGCGUUGGCGAUGCCUCGAUAUUCAGCCUCCGCGCUAGAGCGGGAGACAGUGCUCUGCCGUUUUGAAGACCAGCUGACAAGGUUGUUGCCGAGGAAGACAGUGAAGCCGGAUGUGGACUUGCGGGUAUCGCGGCAUCCCGCCCAGUCUGCAUCUGUGUAGGCCGCCAGGUCGCUGCUGUCAGAGCGGAAGAAGUGCAGGCCGAGGUGGGUAGUCCCUCGAACGUAGCGGAGGACCCUCUUGACCAUCUGGUAGUGAGCCUCCCGGGGAUCAUGCAUGAACAUACAACAUUGUUGAACAUCAUAGGACAGAUCGGGGCGCGUAAGAGUGAGAUACUGGAGCGCUUCGGCGAGGCUGUGGUAGAGUGGUGGGUCGUGGAAGGAAGGCCCGGUGGCAGCGGAGAGCUUGGAGGUGGUGUCGACUGGGGUGGAAACCGGCUUGCAAUUUGGCAUGUCGGCGCGCUCGAGGAUCUCCAGGGCAUACUGCUCCUGCGAGAGGUGGAGACCGUCGGUGGUGUGAUGGACAUUAAUUCCCAGGAAGUGGUGGAGGGAUUCCAUGUCGGUCAUGGAGAACUCACGAUGGAGAGAGGAGAUGAUGCGAUGUAGGAAGGCGGUGUUGCUGGCGGUGAGGAUUAUGUCGUCGACAUAGAGGAGCAGGAAUGUUGUGUCUGUGCCGCGGUGGAGGGAGAACAGCGAGGAGUCCGCCUUGGAGGCAGUGAAGCCGAGGGAGAGAAGGUAGGACGUGAAGCGAGCGAACCAUGCGCGGGGAGCCUGCUUGAGGCCGUACAAGGAGCGGUUGAGGCGACAUACGUCGCGCGGCCGCGCAGCGUCGACGAAGCCGGCUGGUUGUGUGUUGUAGGCCGUCUCAGCGAGAUGCCCAUGGAGGAAGGCAUUCUUGACGUCGAGCUGGUGGAUGGGCCACGAGCUGCCGGCGGCAAGACUGCGGACGACGCGAAUCGUGGCGAGUUUGACGACGGGACUGAAGGUCUCGCCGUAGUCAACCCCAGCCUGCUGUGUGAACCCGCGAAGCACCCACCGCGCCUUGUAUCGUGCGAGAGUCCCGUCGGGGUUGAACUUAUGCCGGAAGAUCCACUUCCCGCUCACCACGUUCGCACCUGCAGGACGAGAAACCAGCGACCAAGUGUCAUUCCGUAACAACGCGUUAUACUCCUUGAGCAUGGCAGCGGCCCAGUUCGGAUCCUGAAGAGCUACACGGUAGGAGGAGGGUAUGGGGCUGACGGACGGUGAGACGGUGAGGUUGGCGUGCUGUUGGGUAGGAAGAAGCCAGACUUGGCACGCGUGUGCAUGGGGUGCAGAUUGGCAGGCGGGCGGACGGGAAUGGCAUGAGGUGGGAGAGGGCGCGGAGCCGACGACGGGCUAGCAGUAGCGGCGGGAGCAGUAGAGGCGGCGUCAGGGGCGUCUGCGAGUGGUAGAGCUGCAUGCGAGACGGAAGGAGGACCGGGGAUAGCCGGCGAGAUGGGGGGAGUUGCAUGCGAAAGUGUAGGGGAGGUGGGGGAUGCAUGCGAAAAGGGAGGAGAGGUGGGUCGAGCGGCCGACGCGGGGACGCGCGAAGCGGUGGUUGAGGUGGGGCGGGAGGUGUGGUUAGUUGGGGGGCAACUGGGGCCGGCUGGCGCAACGGAGUGGGCGCGGUCUGCUGUGCGGAUCCCGGGGCCGCAGUUGCUGCCCAGGACGAGGUAGGCAGGAUCUGGGGGUGAGCGAGAUGGGGAACCGGGGCUGGUGGAGUGGGGCCGGGGAGAUCUGGCGGAGGAGAUGUGGCUGCAAAGUGGAAGGUGCGCUCGUAAAAAGUGACGUGGCGAGAGAUGUAGACACAACGGGUGCGUAGGUCAAGGCACCGGUAGCCUUUGUGCUCGAGGGGAUAGCCAAGAAGAACACAAGGGUUGGAUCGUGGCGCAAGUUUGUGAGGGGCUAAGUGGGUGAGGUUGGGGAAGCAAAGACAACCAAAAACGCGUAAGUGGUCGUAGGUUGGGUGAAGGCCGUGGAGAAGGAAGAAUGGGGUGAGCUGGUUGACGGCGGAGGAGGGGCGGCGAUUGAUGAGGUGGUUGGCCGUAUGAAGAGCCUCGACCCAAUAUUCGGGCGGCAUGUGAGCGUGAACCAAGAGCGUGCAGAGGACGUCGUUGGUGGUGCGAAGGAGACGCUCAACCUUGCCAUUUUGCAGGGAUGUGUGUGGGCAGGAGAGGCGGAAGGAGACGCCGAGAGAGGAGAGGUAGGAACGAAGAGUGUGGGAGAGGAACUCCCCGCCGUUGUCACAUUGGAUGCACUUAAUGGUGAGGUUAUAUUGGGUGUAGUCGUACGCGAAAAAACGUUGAAGGGUGGCCGCUGUGUCAGAUUUGUGGCGGAGGGGAAAAGCCCACGAGUAAUGCGUGUAAUCAUCGAGCACAAUGAGGUAAUAUUGGUAAUCGGAAAAACUGCAAACAAGGCAGGUCCAUAAAUCACAAUGGAUAAUAUGAAAAGGUGCGGUAGUAUGCGAGAGGGAUUUAGGGAACGGUAAACGUGGUUGCUUGCCGAUUUUACAAGAUCCACAUAUCUCAGAACUAGGCAGAUUAUUACAUGAAUCAAGGAAAUUGUUUGCUAAAAUAGAAAGAGAGGCACGGCUGGGAUGACCGAGCCACAGAUGCCACAAAUCGCCGGAGCUGGAAAUGGAGAGUGCGAGCGCGCCGUCUUGGGUCGGAAGAAACGGGUACAGAUCGUCGGAGCUAGUGGACCUCAUGAUGAGUCUCCCCGUUGCUAUGUCCUUCACAGAGAAACCAAAGGGGUCAAAUGAGACAAUACACCAGUUGUCACGAGUAAAACGUCGAACAGAAAUGAGGUUUUGGAUAAUAUGAGGAGAGACUAAGAUGUCAUUUAGGUGGAAGGGAGGGAGGGUGGUUGAACCGGUAGCAACAACAGGAAGGGUAGAGCCAUUGCCGACGGUAAUGCUCGAGGGAAAACGCGUGGAGGCGGAGGACCGGUCGAGGUUACCUGAUGAGCCGGCGACGUGGGAGGUGGCUUCGGUGUCCAUGUACCAGUCGGACCCGGAGGGUGGUUGCGGCAUGUUGGCGAAGGCAUGGGCCAUCAUGGCCUGCUGGUCCCACUGGGGCGCGGACGAGGAGGAGCCGACGACGGGGUACGCCUGGUGAGGAGCGGGAGGUCGAGGACCGAGAACGCCCGCGGCGUUGGGCGGCGCCCAGGUGGCACGCCACUGCUGCACCGUCGGGAGCGGAGCGCCAAACGGGGCGAAGUACCCCAUCCAGGGCUGCUGCUGCUGCGGCCCGACACGUCCCGCACCACCGCUGGAGGAGGCACCGGGGUGACCGCGGCCGCGGCCGCGACCACGACCACCGCGUUGACGAUCGCUGGAGGAGUUGUUGGAGACCAGCGUUUUGCCCUUGUCGGCGGGAGCAGGUGGAGGCGUACGGUCGCCACCACCGAAGGAGGGCCCGCCCCCGGAAGAGGACCCCGCAUGGCCGACAGAGAGAGCCGUAGCGCCGAUGGCUCGCUCCCGUUCGAUGACAGGGAUCUCCUCCAGGAGCAGCCGCGACCGAGCCUGUAGGAAGGUCGGGAAGGGCUGCUGCAUGGGGAGGAGAGUGGCCAUGACAUGGAAGCGACGCCUCAGCCCCCCGAUGAGCUGGAUAGUGAGGGAGCGGUCGGAGACCUGUUCGCCUACAUCGGACAUGGCGGCAGCGAGUUGUUGUAGACGGCGGCUGUACUGGGCGACAGUCAUGUUGCCCUGGAUGGUGGCGCGGAAGUCGGCGCCGAUGUGGACGGCGCAGCCAGCGGCGUUGUCCCGAAAGAAGAUCUCCAGCUGCUGCCAGAGGAGGAACGCAGUGCUCUCUGGCGUCUGGAUGGUGUCGUAGAGUUCGUUGGAGAUUGUCGCGUAGAUCCACAGGAUGAUGGUGAUAUCGUCGUUGCGCCAGACUGCGUUCUCGCGCAGAGGUUCGACGUCGUCGAGGAUGUGAUCCUCCACCCGGUACUUGCACAAAACGAACCAGAGGAGUUGCCUCCACUUCGAGUAGUUGCCGGAGUCAGGGAGAGUUUGAAGGGGAUGUAGCAGGCGAUGUUGACGUGGUGCAUAGACGGUGGUGGGGCGAGGGGAACCUGAGGAGGAGCGAGGGCGAGGGCCCGAGGUUCGGGUUGCAGGACCCGCAGGGGGCGCACCGCGAUCGCAGCGGCGGGAGGAGGGUGGCGCAGAGCGCGGGCGUUGGGGGAAGCGGGCGUCGCGGUGACGGGGGAAGCAGGCCGGGCGACGGGCGCUGGUGGGGCCAGUGCUGGCUCGGGGGCGAUGCAGGGAAGGACGAAGGGAGCGUCGGCGUCCCCGAGCAAAUGAGUGCGAUGGAGGGGACGUCGGAAACUCAUGGCGGAAGCGAGGAAGGGAUUGGUGGACGUCUGAUACCAAGUAAGAUGGAUUAACUCUGUCUAUGUUGAUCUGAUGUACAUGGGUGUGUUUAUAUACACAGGAGUACAGCGAGAGAGAGAGAGGAGGGAGUUACAACAGAAACCGUGGCACCCACGCCGUGCAUGCAUGCGAGAGGGAAGCCGACGUGCGUGGGAGCGUGGGCGUGAGGCGCCGUGGGACUCGCUCCUGAGAGUUAUCCUCGAGCUGACGGUGGGGCUGGAUUAUGUUUCCAACAGGCACAAUUAGAUUUUCUUACUGGACAUUAUUCAUAUUAACUUUUUUACAAGGAUUAUUGAGUGGUGCAGAGCUGCAGGAUGCAUCUUUGGUGACAUUUUUAGUGCAAUUUCAACAUUGUGGGAAAAUAUGGUGAGUGCGAGAUUGGUAAUCAACGGUUCAUUCGUUGGCUUUGAGUCAAGAUGUAGAUAUGUGUCCGCAGCUGCUGCAUUAGCCACACAAGAUGAAAAUGCAGGAUUAGUGGCCACCGUGUCCGUGUUUUUAUUUACCCACGUUCCUCCAUAGCCUGAGGGGACAUAUGAAGUGUAAUCAUGCUCGACAGGAUAUGCGGAACAUCCUGGUAGCUGAGUGUGUGUUCAUACAUCAGCCUCGACCCCAUGCCCAUGAUGGGUACCUGUGAUAGCUUCGCCCACUACUGUAGUACACAAGUUUCUUUGGUGAGCGUGUAACCUGCUUCCGUCCAGUUCAAUCGGCAAAGAAAAGCACGAUCAUUGUACAUACAUGUGGAGGUAUGAAUCAUAUAUGCACAAUGAUACUACUACUGUAUAGGAAUUUUUUACUAUGCAUUACUAGCACAAUCACAGGCCUAUGAAUAAACUGAAGCAUGUGUCAGUUUCUCUAGGGGGCGGAUACAUACCACAGCAUGUAGAGAAAUACAUCCAUGGACCCCAAGCCUUUUCAUGAUGACCAGUGAACCUUUCUACCAGUUAUUUAGCUCUAUGUUUUGCCAAUAGUACUAUUGACUCUAAAGAAAUAUUCAUACUAAUUAAGAAAACAUAUGAUCCUGACAUACAGGAGCUCUCGGUAAACUGAUUACUCCUAUCAUCUGUCGCAGGUUCGUCGCUUAACCGGCUGCAUUUUCAUAUACCACAGCUGGAGCAUGGCCAUAUAGUUGUAUCGCUGAUCUCCGUUACUUGAUCAACUUUCUUUCUAACGAUAUACAUGACAUACCCAGUGAACUUAUUGGUCACAUCAUCACAUGCAGAUUGUCGCUUCACCAGCUGCCUCCACGGAUAUUACAAACCUUAGUCCAUCGAAUUGCAUGCAUGGCAGAAGCCUAGAUGAACUAAUCCAAAUUUGUGCAUGACUGCAUGCAUGUAUGGGGUACUCACAGCUGUCUCACUCUCACAUUUGGUUUUUUACAUUUAAGGUAUAUAUGUAUUACAUGUGCAAACAGCACACUGAGCUUAUAGACAAUUAAUGGGAGCAUGAAAGUUAGGUAAUUCCACAUACUUUAAUCUAUCUCGCUUAAUCAUAUUUACACAUCUUGAAUAGGAAAAUCUGUGCAAUACUAUAACAGUAUCAGGCCACUAUACGUAUUAAAGAAAGGAUUAACUGAAGUGCUAUUUAUUCAUAACACUUAUUACAGUUUAUUCCAUUUCAUUUAAAACAUAUGUCUACUUGAGCGUGCGUGUUUCUACUGAGUGUACUAUCGUAAAACCAUACUACUAAGUGUAUCUGAUAUUGAUGAUGAUUUAAGAGUAAAGACUAGAUUUCUGUACUUGCAAGGAUUAAUGUCCUUGAGAGCCAAUAUGGCCACCUAAAGAUGCGUCUUAUGGGUGCCCGAGAAAAGAGAUACACAAGUUCACUCAUUGCAUAUAUAUUACAUACAGCAUAGACGAGUCUCAUGUUCCUCCGCUUAUGGACUUCGUUUGACGCUAAAGCAAUUAUGUCAUUCCACCAGUCGGAAACUCACAACGUUUCAAAUUCGACGACAUACUUUGUAAGAUUAGCUCUAAAUCCAUUGGUGUAAGCGGGUACACAAAAACCAUGUGUUUCCUUUGAUUAAAAUUUAUGUUUGCAAGCCAAUAAAAACAAAUAAUUAAUUUCAUAUAACAAAUAACAACAUAAUUGUAUUUUUAAUAGUUUUUGCAAAGUGAAUAUCCUUAAUGGGCUAGCCCAUGCGAAUGCACGGGUUGACGACUAGUGCUAUUUAAUGCAUCAGCCAAUGAAAAUAGCAGCAUGCAAAAUGAAAAUUAAUAAACACAGGAAAUAAGAAACUAUUUUCAUGCAUUGUGACUUAUAUAUUUGAAAUGCUAAAUUUUCGUUAAAUGCCUUAUGCACCUGGACGAAGGGAGUAGUGGUAACCUGGAAUGUACAAGUCCUUUGCACACAAAAUAAAAUAGUUAUUAACACCAGCCACUCGCACGUGAGGUCAUGUGUCCUUAAUGCACAUGGGGCUGUGUUACCCAGGCAAGGUCAUGGGCCUCGCGUGGUUGCCCUUGCUCGUGAUGAGGGAGCCUUGGUCUCAUCACUAUCUGUGCGGCUACUCAUCCCGUCCAUGUGAUUUCUAGUAGAUGUGUCUUCAGCUAAAGUUAGUCUGGCAAAGUGACCGCGGUGGGCCUCGUGAGUUUAACCUAGUUUAAGCUAAACUUCGGCUAAAGUUGACGCUGAUGGUGCACGGUUCAGUGGAUUGGCAGCACGGUGAUUUUUGUUAGCUGUGUGCGGGUGUCUUGUGGUGCAGAGGCUCCAAGCGAGGGCUUUCUGGCGCUUGUCGACCGAUGACGGUGAUGCCCAUGGGCGUCAAUGUCUUUCGUGGAGACGUCGUUUAGGAGUACAAACCCCCAGGCCACUAGAAUGAACCACCUUGACUCGUGCACCACGAGAUCGAGCCCACCAGGCCAGAGCACACAACUGUCAGGAGCAGUUAACACAGAUGUCGGCCCACACACAGAGGACAAUUGGCCAGAUCCCACAUGGAUCGGGACCUCGCUGGUAGAGAUCAUGGAACAUCUUCUAUUGGUUAAUGACUAGUUUUUUAUGACCUAUGUGGACACAAUGGUUAAUGACUAGUUUUUCCAUGACCUAUGUGGACACAAUGGUUAAUGACUAGUUUUUUAUAUUAGAAAAUAUGUUCACUCGUAUUAGAUCAAAUUUUAAACUUAACUACUAUAAACUGGGCUCAGGAAAUGAGUGCAUGAAAAGAGGAGUAAGGAACUCACAAAUUCGGUUGCGCAUCAGACCUGGUCAGAUGGGCGAAAUGAGCUAGGUCUAAUAGCUAUGAUUGGAAGGCUACAUUUGACCAAAUUUAUAGAAGCACAAACGUAACUUGUUAACUCAGGUCACUAAACAAUGUAUCUUAACAAGAACACUUUAAUUAAACGUCAACUCAUCUUGUUUGAGUUCAAGCUGAGUUAGGACGACUCACGAGGCACUCGUUUAGCUUGUUACAUUUUAGUUUUUGCUCCAUCCCUACACGUGACACCUCUCAAGCUAGAGCAUGCGAUGUAACCAGUGUUGUCCAUGCCAGACAGCUCCGCAUCCGGUGCAGUGCGGUCAAUCGUGAUGUUUAAAAGGGGUAGUAAGAUGCAGCUCUCAUGCAGAUAACUAGAAUUGAUAACUAUUGGCUACGAACCUGUGAAGUUAUUCCCUUUUUCUGGUCGGUUUUUUGCCCGUUCAUCAAUUUGCACAAAUCUUGUAUGGGAAAAUAGAUGUGGUUCUGCGAAUACUAGUGGACCGCUCCAACUUGUCCGAGGAGGAUUUUUUAUUUGAUAUUUUACUUGGCCUGAAAGAGUGAAAGUCUCGGCAGGAAACCGAGCUGAUGGUGGCUGCCAGAAAUUAAGUUUCAAAAUGUGCAGGCUGCCUUUCAAGAUAAUGGUUGAGGUGUUUUUGCCCCCGAAGAAGGAAAAUCAACAUAGCUGAUGUUAAGUACGUCUUCAAACACUGAAUAUAAACUACUAAAUUCACUACAGAAAAGUCACACUGGAUACGUUCAAGAACUAAAGCAAAAUAAAGGGGUCAUGAGCUGAAAAUAGAGAUAAGUUUUUGAUUUUGUGUCAAGACAAGCAAGCACUUUGUGUUGAGAAUGCUUGAUUCUUAGAGAACUACCAACAUUAUUGAAAUCUUGCAAUGUUCUCCUGCAAAGAAUAUUACCCUUCAAAUUUAGACAAGUGCAACACGUUUUCUUUGCUCCAUCUUUUUAACUUGCUUGAAAUUCUAAACUACAAAAAACUGUUCAUUCAACUAUUAAACACAUGUACCAUUGCAAACCACGACAAAGGCCAGUUGAGCAUGCACACAAUUAAACAGCAACUAGUCGCCGCACGGGCUAGUUUAGUAAUUAAUAUAUAUGGAAAACCUAAGACCAUGUAUAACUUUUGAAUCUAGUUUAUAUCGUGACACAUGUGGAACACCUUAUAAUCUCAAGAGAAGUAAGUGGAUAUGAGAUAAAAUACAAAUUCAUAAGUUAUCCUUAUAUGUGUGCAUCUCUAUUUUUUCUUCUAGUGUUCCCUUGUCCAUUCACCGAAAGAUACCAUGUUAUACUAUUUGGAACAAAAGAGAGGCCCCACCUUAAUCAAAAAGUUUAAUUUCAAUUCUUUAGUAAAACAGUCAACCACAUAAGAAUUGUGGAGAGAAAGAGAAAAAUCUGAUAGAUAAUGCUACAAUCUUUCAGAAAAUAACAGCCAAACACACCAUAAGAAUAUUCUAAAUCACCAUGAGAUCUGUAUGAAGUACAAUGUCCAUGAACGGCAUCAACUUAAAACUAUAGGCACAUUGGUACAUAUAUAAUGAGGAGGACAUGUUAAUUGUGGUGACUAUCAACCAUAUAAAUGGACAUAUCAUCGCCACACUAAAUGGUGAUGAGGUUGCCACUGGUUCUGUGCUAAAACAUCUUUGCUGGCAGGAGACUUCUGAUAUUUGUGAAAUAUAGUACCAAAAAUAAGUUUUUGUGCCUUCUUGCAUUUCACAUGUCAGACUAUUGUGAUUUUACUUAUUAGAUCAUGCUCAGAUCAAAUAAAAUAAAACUACCUGAUUAACUAUAGAACCUGGUGAACAAAAACAAAUGAUUCAGGUAUAACUCUGAAUGAAGACCCGAUAAACUAUAGAACCUGAUGAGUAAACAAACGAUUCAGAUAUAACUAUAGAACAUAUUUACAUGCGAACCGACAAAAAUUGCAUUCACACCUUAAUCUUGCACCUAACCAUUAUAACUUUUACGCCUAUUCAUGCCUUCUAUUUAACUAAGGAUGAGAGAAAUUCUACGGAUAUAAUUAGUAAAUUAACAUCAAAAGCAUACAAAAGGAGUUAGUACAACACAUACCUAUUCCGCCAGAAGUUACGACAAUCUCUGAUCUGACCACAUAUUGUCUUGAUACAUAGAUCAGACGUGUAAGCCUGGAUUGUAUAUUAAACUGCACAUACAUGCAAACAUACACAGUCAGCGCUGAGUAUAUAUACUACCACUGUUGCUGGAUGAAGUGGUAGUAUUCCUGUGUAUUUGUUACGUUAUGAUAUUCUGUCCCCAGUGAAGGCACACUUUGUACACUGUUGUUUGACAUCACCAUGAUUAGAAGCAGAAUAGGCAAUCAUUCGGAAACGUGAACAUUAGAUUGAAAGAAGAUUCACAUGUAUGUUAUUGGUACCUUCAUUGGGAGACGUUGCUGUGUACUCGCAUAUGACUUUCAAAUGAGAUGAGAAGGAGCGCAGAAGUUCUAUUUAUAGAAGAAUCAGAGAAGUUGAUGGUAGGACUCCACGCUAGCCAUGAUGUGUGGUGCACAAUCCAGCCAGUCAGGUGGUUGAUGAAUUUUCAAAAGGUUUCUUCUCGUUUUUUUUGCGGUGGCAAAAGGUUUCUUCUCUAACCUGAUGUUUCAAUAAUGUUUUAAUAAAUGAAGAAAAUGUUGGCAGUGUGAUAUCCAGCAAAAAAUCUGCUCAGUUUUGGACCGGCCAUUAUGCUAGCUAUAUAUAUCACAUGAUCUGGAGAUAACAGACACCAUGAACAUCUAUUCGAUGCCUUAUGAUCUAUCUCGCAACCAACUACAGUUGGUCGUCUCACUGAAGAACUAACUCUUGUUCAUCAAAUUCAAGGCCAAGACAUGGUCAGAACAGUACUGGCAGCAAAGCAAUUAUACAUGUUCGAAAGCCAGGAGGGAGGAGAUUGUAAUUGUAUAACAGAUUGAUGCAUAGAACAUGAGAAGUGGUAUAUUAUGAGGAGAAGAGCAAUCUAAGAAAGAAACCCUGAAAAAGGAACCAAAAUCAUGGACUAUUUAUUAGGAAUAAACAUGAGAAACAUAAACCAGAUCCAAGUAUAAUAGGUGAAAAACGAAUUGAUCUAGAUAAUGAUUGCUCAUGACAGUUCCAUCUCCACGUGAUGCAAGAAGAAACAUUAAUAAAUCUAGACGUGCCGACCUGGUAUGGAAAGAGUCACGGAGUUAUAUGCACAAAUUUUUAGUAGAAAACCUGAGAGAGAUGAGGUCAGGAGAAAGCAUGGAUGACAUACUUGGCAUGACAAAUUGUAAGAUCUAACCUGAGGGUGGUUUGUCUUUAGACAGUUGGUGCUCCUCUCCUGUCGUGAGGUUGUUUGUGUCUAGGCAAGGAGCCAUGCUGGUAGAAGGCGUCAUGUCAUGGGCUAGGUUUCGGAAAUCGCCGCCGGGGAGCUAUAGACGAUGAAGAACUCCCAUCGUAUUGAGAGGACGGUGGCCGCCGAGGACAGCUGGGCUUAUGAGAUCGUGGUUCUUUUUUUUCCUUUGCUGACCUAGAGAAUAGAGGAAGGGGAGUCGUGAGAUAUGAGAUGUGAGAUUUUGGGACGGG
This 14662-nucleotide long non-coding RNA is filed under the name Hordeum vulgare. RNAcentral describes it as "long non-coding RNA (HVUL_LNC013780)". Lineage: Eukaryota; Viridiplantae; Streptophyta; Magnoliopsida; Poales; Poaceae. The record is from RNAcentral.